UGAAGGAAGCCUUGUAGUACAUUGCAUGC
Molecule: non-coding RNA, 29 nt
Filed under: Mus musculus (house mouse)
Lineage: Eukaryota; Metazoa; Chordata; Mammalia; Rodentia; Muridae
Source: RNAcentral